UGAUUACCUACACCUACAAUAGCGAGCCU
This 29-nucleotide small RNA is filed under the name Bombyx mori (domestic silkworm). Its description in RNAcentral is "ovarian small RNA-533". The record is from RNAcentral. Lineage: Eukaryota; Metazoa; Arthropoda; Insecta; Lepidoptera; Bombycidae.